CCCUUCGAUGUUCUGGGCAGCACGCGCGCUACAAUGGUCUUCGCAAACGGAUGCAUUCUCGAAGGAGAAUGCCAAUCUUUGAAUCUAUGCCUUGGUCGGGACAGUUGCUUGCAAUUUUUCGACUCGAACCAGGAAUUCCUUGUAAUCGUGAUUCAUCACAUCACGAUGAAUACGUCCCUGCCCUUUGUACACACCGCCCGUCGCUCCUACCGAUCGAAGAGUUAGGUGAAUUGUUUUGAUCGAUAAGAUUUGACUAUGGUCAACUCUCGUUGUGAAAUUCUGUGAAUCUGACUGUUUAGAGGAAGGAAAAGUCGUAACA
RNAcentral lists this ribosomal RNA (319 nucleotides) under uncultured eukaryote. RNAcentral describes it as "partial 18S ribosomal RNA". It matches the Rfam family "Eukaryotic small subunit ribosomal RNA", at positions 1470 to 1796 of the family's 1831-position model. The record is from RNAcentral.